RNAcentral lists this ribosomal RNA (506 nucleotides) under uncultured Glomeromycotina. Its description in RNAcentral is "partial small subunit ribosomal RNA". It matches the Rfam family "Eukaryotic small subunit ribosomal RNA", at positions 591 to 1092 of the family's 1831-position model. The record is from RNAcentral. Lineage: Eukaryota; Fungi; Glomeromycota.
CCAAUAGCGUAUAUUAAAGUUGUUGCAGUUAAAAAGCUCGUAGUUGAAUUUCGGGAUUGACGUGAUGGUCAUGCCUUAAGGGGUAUGAACUGUUACAGUUGAUUUCUCACCUUCUGGAGAAACUUGAUGUCCUUAAUUGGGUGUCAUAUGGAACCAGAACUUUUACCUUGAAAAAAUUAGAGUGUUUAAAGCAAGCUUAUUGCUCGAAUACAUUAGCAUGGAAUAAUAAAAUAGGACGGCAUGAUUCUAUUUUGUUGGUUUCUAGGAUCACCGUAAUGAUUAAUAGGGAUAGUUGGGGGCAUUAGUAUUCAAUUGUCAGAGGUGAAAUUCUUGGAUUUAUUGAAGACUAACUACUGCGAAAGCAUUUGCCAAGGAUGUUUUCAUUAAUCAAGAACGAAAGUUAGGGGAUCGAAGACGAUCAGAUACCGUCGUAGUCUUAACCAUAAACUAUGCCGACUAGGAAUCAGACGAUGUUAAUUUUUUAAUGACUCGUUUGGCACCUUACG